GCGAAGAACCUUACCAGGUCUUGACAUCCUCUGACAAUCCUAGAGAUAGGACGUCCCCUUCGGGGGCAGAGUGACAGGUGGUGCAUGGUUGUCGUCAGCUCGUGUCGUGAGAUGUUGGGUUAAGUCCCGCAACGAGCGCAACCCUUGAUCUUAGUUGCCAGCAUUCAGUUGGGCACUCUAAGGUGACUGCCGGUGACAAACCGGAGGAAGGUGGGGAUGACGUCAAAUCAUCAUGCCCCUUAUGACCUGGGCUACACACGUGCUACAAUGGACAGAACAAAGGGCAGCGAAACCGCGAGGUUAAGCCAAUCCCACAAAUCUGUUCUCAGUUCGGAUCGCAGUCUGCAACUCGACUGCGUGAAGCUGGAAUCGCUAGUAAUCGCGGAUCAGCAUGCCGCGGUGAAUACGUUCCCGGGCCUUGUACACACCGCCCGUCACACCACGAGAGUUUGUAACACCCGAAGUCGGUGAGGUAACCUUUAUGGAGCCAGCCGCCGAAGGUGGGACAGAUGAUUGGGGUGAAUC
RNAcentral lists this ribosomal RNA (525 nucleotides) under Bacillus subtilis. RNAcentral's name for it is "bacterial SSU rRNA". It matches the Rfam family "Bacterial small subunit ribosomal RNA", at positions 961 to 1486 of the family's 1533-position model. Lineage: Bacteria; Bacillati; Bacillota; Bacilli; Caryophanales; Bacillaceae. The record is from RNAcentral.